Molecule: ribosomal RNA, 178 nt
Filed under: Symphonia globulifera (boarwood)
Lineage: Eukaryota; Viridiplantae; Streptophyta; Magnoliopsida; Malpighiales; Clusiaceae
Description: partial 26S ribosomal RNA
Rfam family: Eukaryotic large subunit ribosomal RNA (bases 66-178)
Source: RNAcentral
GGACCCUCGGACUAUGUCGUGCACUCUCGUCACCUUGGCACUGAGAUCCCCAGGUCAUCAUAAUGCGACCCCAGGUCAGGCGAGACUACCCGCUGAGUUUAAGCAUAUCAAUAAGCGGAGGAAAAGAAACUUACCAGGAUUCCCCUAGUAACGGCGAGCGAACCGGGAAAAGCCCAGA